GAGGCUUUAGCUCAGUUGGUAGAGCGGCUCCCUUUUAAGGAGCAUGUCGAAGGUUCAAGUCCUUCAAGCCUCA
RNAcentral lists this transfer RNA (73 nucleotides) under Candidatus Amphrikana amoebophyrae. RNAcentral's name for it is "tRNA-Lys". It matches the Rfam family "tRNA". Rfam says of the family: Transfer RNA (tRNA) molecules are approximately 80 nucleotides in length. Their secondary structure includes four short double-helical elements and three loops (D, anti-codon, and T loops). The record is from RNAcentral. Lineage: Bacteria; Pseudomonadati; Chlamydiota; Chlamydiia; Parachlamydiales; Simkaniaceae.